CGCGGAGUGGAGCAGUUGGUAGCUCGUCGGGCUCAUAACCCGAAGGUCGCAGGUUCAAGUCCUGCCUCCGCUACUA
RNAcentral lists this transfer RNA (76 nucleotides) under Bacteroidota bacterium. RNAcentral describes it as "Bacteroidetes bacterium tRNA-Met". It matches the Rfam family "tRNA". From Rfam's summary of the family: Transfer RNA (tRNA) molecules are approximately 80 nucleotides in length. Their secondary structure includes four short double-helical elements and three loops (D, anti-codon, and T loops). Further hydrogen bonds mediate the characteristic L-shaped molecular structure. tRNAs have two regions of fundamental functional importance: the anti-codon, which is responsible for specific mRNA codon recognition, and the 3' end, to which the tRNAs corresponding amino acid is attached (by aminoacyl-tRNA synthetases). tRNAs cope with the degeneracy of the genetic code in two manners: having more than one tRNA (with a specific anti-codon) for a particular amino acid; and 'wobble' base-pairing, i.e. permitting non-standard base-pairing at the 3rd anti-codon position. Lineage: Bacteria; Pseudomonadati; Bacteroidota. RNAcentral also lists the same sequence under 1 other name. The record is from RNAcentral.